GCCGCCGGGAAUACUACAAAGCUAGGGAGUGGGAGAGGUAGACGGUACUCCGUAGGAAGGGGUAAAAUCCUUUGAUCUAUGGAUGACCACCAGUGGCGAAGGCGGUCUACCAGAACACGUUCGACGGUGAGGGAUGAAAGCUGGGGGAGCAAACCGGAUUAGAUACCCGGGUAGUCCCAGCUGUAAACUAUGCAAACUCAGUGAUGCAUUGGCUUGUGGCCAGUGCAGUGCCGCAGAGAAGUCGUUAAGUUUGCCGCCUGGGAAGUACGUACGCAAGUAUGAAACUUAAAGGAAUUGGCGGGGGAGCACCACAAGGGGUGAAGCCUGCGGUUCAAUUGGAGUCAACGCCAGAAAUCUUACCCGGAGAGACAGCAGAAUGAAGGUCAAGUUGAAGCCUUUACCAGACAAGCUGAGAAGUGGUGCAUGGCCGUCGCCAGCUCGUGCCGUGAGGUGUCCUGUUAAGUCAGGUAACGAGCGAGAUCCUUGCCUCUAGUUGCUACCAUUACUCUCAGGAGUAGUGGGGCGAAUUAGCGGGACUGCCGUAGUUAAUACGGAGGAAGGAGAGGGCCACGGC
RNAcentral lists this ribosomal RNA (574 nucleotides) under uncultured archaeon. RNAcentral describes it as "bacterial SSU rRNA". It matches the Rfam family "Archaeal small subunit ribosomal RNA", at positions 571 to 1142 of the family's 1478-position model. The record is from RNAcentral.